GUUCAGGGUGGUAUGGCCAUAGAUGAACCCUAAAUUCUUAACCAUUGUAAAUGUGGUAUUUUCUAUGCUUCAACAAGAGAAUUGUGUAUGUGGUAUGUUUUAUGCUUCAACAAGAGAAUUAUGGGACUACUGCAUAGGAGUGUCUCAGAAUAUUGAUUUUAGUUGAAUAAGAUAAAAUUUAUAUGAUUAUAAGAAAAGUCAAUGAUACAGAAAUAGAUGGGAUUUUAAAUCCAUAUUUUCAAUGAAUGUAGUGCCUACUGAAGCAAACCAUAAUCCUGAACACAGACUGAAUAUUAUUUCAGUAUUGCUACAAGACUCUUACUUGGAUUAAGGCCAAAGAAAUGCCUACAGUUAUAGAAUCAUUGCUACUAAUAAGAGUUUAGAGAUACUGGGUAUAAAUUUUUUUUCCUGUAAAAAGUCAGCAGAUAGCAUGAAUGUUCCUGUGAUGUGGAUAUCAGUUCUAGUUCAGAGGUAAAGGGAAGAGUCUAGAAGCCUGCAGUAGGAAAGAUUCUAGAGAUAUUUAUCAUAAUGACAGACCAAUUUUUUCAUAAUGAAAAAAAAAACCUAUGUUAAAUAAUUUUAGCAAGGUUGAUGAUUUAAGCACACAAAAUUCUAAGUUACAUAAAAAUGAUUAAAACAUAAGCUUAAAAUUGAAGCUGUUUUGCUCCUCUGAGGUAAAGAGUUCACAUCUCUAAGAUUAUUUAGCCAAAUGUUUUGGAGAAUAAGAGUUUGGAUGAAGGUAACAGAUUACAUUGAAACCUGUGCAAAGUGUAUGGACCCAAAAGAGAGAGAGCUAACAUCAAUGACAAUUGAACAACAUAAACAACAUAGAGAUAAAAGUCUUCACUUAAAAUCUUGCGAGUGAUUUCCUGUUACAUAUUUUUAAACUGUGGUUAAUUGUUCUAGAAACAUUCAUUAUGAGUAGCCUCAUGAUUCUAGGUUUCCCUGUAAGAGAUCCAACUAAAUCUGCCACUUCAGUGCCUACCUCCAGGAUGAUCAUGAGUCUGCAUUAGCUAACGGUAGAGGGAUGCUAUCCUCCCCAGAGCACAACUGUUGUGCAUCUGCCUACCACAUCUGCCUCAACUAAAAUGUCAGAUACGAGCUGAGACUGCAAUAGAAUUGGAUUACUGAGCAGGUCCUUGGAAUGGGAGAGGAACUUACCUCACAGUAUUUGAAUUGUUUCCUAACUACAACUCUUUCCAAUGAUGCUCGUCUGCCAUGGAAAGACCUCAACUAAGUUUCUCUCAUUUGUACAAGCGUCUAAGUCCCACUUAAUCUCUCUUCUCCCAGCCCAGGCACAGGAACAUCAACCAUUCUCCAGUCCCCCCUCAGAGCCUCCCAUGAUGGAAUCCAAACCUCCCUUCAUUGUCUUAGCAACCUUGGUAUCUCACAGUCCCCAUGCUGUGGCCACCUUCCUUACAGAGUAAUUAUACAAACUUGAAUUAUAAUUUUACAGCUAUACAAAGAGAUGGAGAAAGAUUUGUAUAAGAAUUAAAAACCCUAAACUGAGGCUUCAUAUUUCUUUUAUUAUAAUUUCCACCAACAUUUAUUGUGUUUGCAUUUCAUUGUUUUAAAUCUUCUUGUUCCUGUAACCAUACACAUUUUUAAAGUGAACAUCUUUUAUGUAGAAAAAUUUGCUCAAUCAGGAACCUAUAUGCAUAAAAAUGAAUGUUUCUUAUAACUCCAUAAGGAGGGAAAAGUCUCCCAUUCUGGAAGAAUUUGGGGCUGAAUGGUCUAUAAGAACAUAAAUUCAGAGAAAAGCAAUAAUGCUUUCAAGCCUGAAUUUAGAGGCAAGGGAAUGGUGUUGGCAAACCUCUGAGGAUUCUUCUGUUGCAUUUCCUACCUCGUGUCUUAAUAACAUUCUCUCCCAUGGUGUUAAUUUUGCCUUUGAAGAAAUAAUAAACAUAAUUUAAUUUCCAAUCGUUGCCAUGGUGAAAACGCUCCCCCCACACUUGUGAAUGCUGAUGACUGACAGUGUUGUACUGUCUUCUGAUUACUCUCCAGUCUGUUUUAAAGUCCACAGCUGGGAAUACAGUCUUCCUAAAGGAAGUAUGAUAGAUGGCCCAGUCAGGGAUCAGGAGACUUGAGCUGGUGAAAGAAGCCAUCUGUCUGUUCAGUAUCUGUGAAUGGGGUCUGACAGAGUAGCAGGAACUCGGCGUUGAGGCAGCAGCUUGCCACCCUCACUUCCAACACACUGACACUACUUUCUGACACAACAUCCACACGCAUGCCUAAUUUCACUCAUGAGUUGCAGUGACAGUGUAACAGAUCUAAUCCAUCGCCACAUACUUUUGGCAUCUAAGAUGCGGCCAAGGACUGAUCACCUUUGGAGAAUUAAGUAACAGGGGUGGACUAUGGAGAGACAAGCCACUCUAAAGCAGAUUAGUGAAUGAACUGCCCAGGUCAACACCAUUGCAAUCAAUACAUCCCAAAGCUUACUGUGCCCCAGCGUGUAAUAACAGUCUGUUUUGUUUCUCAUUCCCUUUUGCUUUAAAUUGCCAUCAUUUUGUACUCAGUAUGGGGGUAAGGUGGGAAUUAUUCUGAUACACUUCAGAGUAAAAUCCUAUAGAUUGUUUUUUGAAAGACUUCUGUAUUUUAUCUUUGUAUUUAUGUCUGUUUCUUAUAACAUAUGUUAUAGAUCAAAACGAAGUGAAUGAUAUAAAUAAGGAACAAAUAGGUAAAACUUUUUCAUAAAAAUAAUAAAAUUUCAUGAUCUGUG
RNAcentral lists this long non-coding RNA (2719 nucleotides) under Mus musculus (house mouse). RNAcentral's name for it is "long non-coding RNA chr3:39636058-39638777". The record is from RNAcentral. Lineage: Eukaryota; Metazoa; Chordata; Mammalia; Rodentia; Muridae.